CAGUCGCCGCGGUAAUACAGAGGGUGCGAGCGUUAAUCGGAUUUACUGGGCGUAAAGCGUGCGUAGGCGGCUUCUUAAGUCGGAUGUGAAAUCCCUGAGCUUAACUUAGGAAUUGCAUUCGAUACUGGGAAGCUAGAGUAUGGGAGAGGAUGGUAGAAUUCCAGGUGUAGCGGUGAAAUGCGUAGAGAUCUGGAGGAAUACCGAUGGCGAAGGCAGCCAUCUGGCCUAAUACUGACGCUGAGGUACGAAAGCAUGGGGAGCAAACAGGAUUAGAGACCCGAGUAGUCCCUGUCUCUUAUAC
Molecule: ribosomal RNA, 301 nt
Filed under: uncultured bacterium
Lineage: Bacteria
Description: partial 16S ribosomal RNA
Rfam family: Bacterial small subunit ribosomal RNA
Source: RNAcentral